GUGCUAAGGUAGCAUAAUCAUUUGCCUUUUAAUUGGAGGCUAGAAUGAAGGGACACACAAGAAUAAUUCUGUCUCCUUCAGAAUUAUAGUAAACUGUUAUUCAAGUGAAGAAUCUUGAAUUAUUAUAAAGGACAAGAAGACCCUAUAGAGCUUUAUCAAUAAAGAUUAUUAUAUUAUACUAUUGAUUUGAUUGGGACAAUCAAAAGACAAACUAACCUCUUUCACCUUUAAUAUACUCACACCCAAUAUUGUCACAGAAACUAGCUACCUUAGGGAUAACAGGCUAAUCUUACUAGAGAGACCACAUUGACAGUAAGGGUUGGCACCUCGAUGUUGGCUUAGUGUAACUAUUAGGCGCAGCCGCUUAAUAAAGUUGGUUUGUUCAACCAUUAAAUCACUACGUGAUC
RNAcentral lists this ribosomal RNA (407 nucleotides) under Pseudonereis sp. DBUA0002452.01.v01. RNAcentral's name for it is "partial 16S ribosomal RNA". It matches the Rfam family "Bacterial large subunit ribosomal RNA", at positions 1948 to 2605 of the family's 2925-position model. The record is from RNAcentral. Lineage: Eukaryota; Metazoa; Annelida; Polychaeta; Phyllodocida; Nereididae.